AGAACGAACGCUGGCGGCAGGCUUAACACAUGCAAGUCGAACGAUGUAGCAAUACAUAGUGGCGCACGGGUGAGUAACACGUGGGAACAUGCCUUUCAGUUCGGGAUAACACCGGGAAACUGGUGCUAAUACCGAAUAUUCUCUCCGGAGGAAAGAUUUAUCGCUGAAAGAUUGGCCCGCGUUAGAUUAGGUAGUUGGUGGGGUAAUGGCCUACCAAGCCUACGAUCUAUAGCUGGUCUGAGAGGACGACCAGCCACACUGGAACUGAGACACGGUCCAGACUCCUACGGGAGGCAGCAGUGGGGAAUAUUGGACAAUGGGCGCAAGCCUGAUCCAGCCAUGCCGCGUGAGUGAUGAAGGCCUUAGGGUUGUAAAGCUCUUUUGUCAGGGAAGAUAAUGACGGUACCUGAAGAAUAAGCACCGGCUAACUUCGUGCCAGCAGCCGC
Molecule: ribosomal RNA, 446 nt
Filed under: uncultured bacterium
Lineage: Bacteria
Description: SSU rRNA
Rfam family: Bacterial small subunit ribosomal RNA
Source: RNAcentral